GGAAAAGCUCAAAGUUGGAACCUGGCUGCCCUAGGCAGUCCGGAUUGUAAACUAAAGAGCGUGAUUCCAGGCAAGCCGGUUGAUCAAGUCCUUUGGAAUGAGGCGCCACUGAGGGUGAGAGCCCCGUAAGUCGACUGAGCAUUUGUCUUUUGUGUUUCGCGUUCAAAGAGUCAGGUUGUUUGGGAAUGCAGCCUAAAGCUGGUGGUAAAUCCCACCUAAAGCUAAAUACAGGCGAGAGACCGAUAGCGAACAAGUACCGUGAGGGAAAGAUGAAAAGAACUUUGAAAAGAGAGUUAAACAGUAUGUGAAAUUGCCAAGAGGGAAGCAUUUGGAGUUAGAUUGACUAGGAGUUAAUCAGCUUGGUCUUUGGACUGGGUGUACUUGACUUCUAUUGGUCUGCCAAUAGCAGUUAGUCCUAGUGGAAAAAACCAGAGGGAAGGUAGUCCUUCGGGAUGUUUAUAGACCUUUGGAAAAUACACUGGGAUUGACUGAGGAAUGCAGUAGAUGCCACUAAGGCUUCGUCUAGUGGGUGCUAGGCAAAGGUACUUGGUAUUUUCAGCUUGCUGAUGUGCUAGGUUACUCGAGUCUAGUCGCCUACUAGAACUGUAAUCUACUUUGGUUAUUGGCUUAAUGACUCUAAAUGGCCCGUCUU
This 652-nucleotide ribosomal RNA is filed under the name uncultured Mycocladus. RNAcentral describes it as "eukaryotic LSU rRNA". It matches the Rfam family "Eukaryotic large subunit ribosomal RNA", at positions 101 to 655 of the family's 3401-position model. Lineage: Eukaryota; Fungi; Mucoromycota; Mucoromycetes; Mucorales; Lichtheimiaceae. The record is from RNAcentral.